AGAGUUUGAUCAUGGCUCAGAUUGAACGCUGGCGGCAGGCUUAACACAUGCAAGUCGAGCGGAGAGAGGUAGCUUGCUACUGAUCUUAGCGGCGGACGGGUGAGUAAUGCUUAGGAAUCUGCCUAUUAGUGGGGGACAACAUUUCGAAAGGAAUGCUAAUACCGCAUACGUCCUACGGGAGAAAGCAGGGGAUCUUCGGACCUUGCGCUAAUAGAUGAGCCUAAGUCGGAUUAGCUAGUUGGUGGGGUAAAGGCCUACCAAGGCGACGAUCUGUAGCGGGUCUGAGAGGAUAAUCCGCCACACUGGGACUGAGACACGGCCCAGACUCCUACGGGAGGCAGCAGUGGGGAAUAUUGGACAAUGGGCGCAAGCCUGAUCCAGCCAUGCCGCGUGUGUGAAGAAGGCCUUAUGGUUGUAAAGCACUUUAAGCGAGGAGGAGGCUACUUUAGUUAAUACCUAGAGAUAGUGGACGUUACUCGCAGAAUAAGCACCGGCUAACUCUGUGCCAGCAGCCGCGGUAAUACAGAGGGUGCAAGCGUUAAUCGGAUUUACUGGGCGUAAAGCGCGCGUAGGCGGCUAAUUAAGUCAAAUGUGAAAUCCCCGAGCUUAACUUGGGAAUUGCAUUCGAUACUGGUUAGCUAGGGUGUGGGAGAGGAUGGUAGAAUUCCAGGUGUAGCGGUGAAAUGCGUAGAGAUCUGGAGGAAUACCGAUGGCGAAGGCAGCCAUCUGGCCUAACACUGGCGCUGAGGUGCGAAAGCAUGGGGAGCAAACAGGAUUAGAUACCCUGGUAGUCC
Molecule: ribosomal RNA, 794 nt
Filed under: uncultured bacterium
Lineage: Bacteria
Description: bacterial SSU rRNA
Rfam family: Bacterial small subunit ribosomal RNA
Source: RNAcentral